GGCAGGCUUAACACAUGCAAGUCGAGCGGUAACAGAAAGUAGCUUGCUAUUUUGCUGACGAGCGGCGGACGGGUGAGUAAUGCCUAGGAAUCUGCCUAGUAGUGGGGGAUAACUUGCCGAAAGGUAAGCUAAUACCGCAUACGUCCUACGGGAGAAAGCAGGGGACCUUAGGGCCAAGCGCUAUUAGAUGAGCCUAGGUCGGAUUAGUUAGUUGGUGAGGUAAUGGCUCACCAAGACCGCGAUCCGUAACUGGUCUGAGAGGAUGAUCAGUCACACUGGAACUGAGACACGGUCCAGACUCCUACGGGAGGCAGCAGUGGGGAAUAUUGGACAAUGGGGGAAACCCUGAUCCAGCCAUGCCGCGUGUGUGAAGAAGGUCUUAGGAUUGUAAGCACUUUAGUUGGGAGGAAGGCAGUUA
Molecule: ribosomal RNA, 418 nt
Filed under: uncultured prokaryote
Description: bacterial SSU rRNA
Rfam family: Bacterial small subunit ribosomal RNA
Source: RNAcentral